RNAcentral lists this ribosomal RNA (301 nucleotides) under uncultured bacterium. RNAcentral's name for it is "bacterial SSU rRNA". It matches the Rfam family "Bacterial small subunit ribosomal RNA", at positions 44 to 336 of the family's 1533-position model. The record is from RNAcentral.
GUGCUUAACACAUGCAAGUCGAGCGGGUUUCUGCAGUGUAUCGCAGGAGCUAGCGGCAGACGGGUGAGUAAUACUUGGGCAAUCUACCCUCGAGUGGGAAACAACCGGCCGAAAGGCUGGCUAAUGUCCCAUAAGACCACAGGACGGCAUCGUCUAGGGGUAAAAGCUCCGCAAGGGGCGCUGGAGGAGGAGCCUGAGUCCUAUCAUGGUAGUUGGUGAGGUAACGGCUCACCAAGCCUUUGACGGGUAGCCGGCCUGCAAAGGGUGAUCGGCCACACUGGCACUGAGACACGGGCCAGAC